RNAcentral lists this small RNA (122 nucleotides) under Marmota monax (woodchuck). Lineage: Eukaryota; Metazoa; Chordata; Mammalia; Rodentia; Sciuridae. The record is from RNAcentral.
GUCGGGCAUGGUGUCACAUGCCUGUAAUCCCAGCAGCUCAGGAGGCUGAAGCAGGAGGAUUGAGAAUUUAAAGCCAGCCUCAGCAGUGAGGCUCUAGGCAACUCACUGAGAUACUGUCUCUU